This 253-nucleotide ribosomal RNA is filed under the name uncultured bacterium. RNAcentral describes it as "partial 16S ribosomal RNA". It matches the Rfam family "Bacterial small subunit ribosomal RNA", at positions 524 to 776 of the family's 1533-position model. The record is from RNAcentral.
UACGUAGGUGGCAAGCGUUGUCCGGAUUUACUGGGCGUAAAGAGCGCGCAGGCGGUCGUUCAAGUCGCGUGUGAAAGCCCCCGGCUCAACUGGGGAGGGUCACGCGAUACUGAUCGACUCGAAGGCAGGAGAGGGAAGUGGAAUUCCCGGUGUAGUGGUGAAAUGCGUAGAUAUCAGGAGGAACACCGGUGGCGAAGGCGGGUCUCUGGGCCGAUAUUGACGCUGAGGAGCGAAAGCGUGGGGAGCGAACAGG